GACGAACGCUGGCGGCGUGCCUAAUACAUGCAAGUAGAACGCUGAAGGAGGAGCUUGCUUCUCUGGAUGAGUUGCGAACGGGUGAGUAACGCGUAGGUAACCUGCCUGGUAGCGGGGGAUAACUAUUGGAAACGAUAGCUAAUACCGCAUAAGAGUAGAUGUUGCAUGACAUUUGCUUAAAAGGUGCAAUUGCAACACUACCAGAUGGACCUGCGUUGUAUUAGCUAGUUGGUGGGGUAACGGCUUACCAAGGCGACGAUACAUAGCCGACCUGAGAGGGUGAUCGGCCACACUGGGACUGAGACACGGCCCAGACUCCUACGGGAGGCAGCAGUAGGGAAUCUUCGGCAAUGGACGGAAGUCUGACCGAGCAACGCCGCGUGAGUGAAGAAGGUUUUCGGAUCGUAAAGCUCUGUUGUAAGAGAAGAACGAGUGUGAGAGUGGAAAGUUCACACUGUGACGGUAUCUUACCAGAAAGGGACGGCUAACUACGUG
RNAcentral lists this ribosomal RNA (495 nucleotides) under uncultured bacterium. Its description in RNAcentral is "partial 16S ribosomal RNA". It matches the Rfam family "Bacterial small subunit ribosomal RNA", at positions 28 to 507 of the family's 1533-position model. The record is from RNAcentral.